CCUACGGGAGGCAGCAGUGAGGAAUAUUGGUCAAUGGGCGUAAGCCUGAACCAGCCAAGUCGCGUGAGGGAUGAAGGUUCUAUGGAUCGUAAACCUCUUUUAUAAGGGAAUAAAGUGCGGGACGUGUCCCGUGUUGUAUGUACCUUAUGAAUAAGGAUCGGCUAACUCCGUGCCAGCAGCCGCGGUAAUACGGAGGAUCCGAGCGUUAUCCGGAUUUAUUGGGUUUAAAGGGUGCGUAGGCGGCCUUUUAAGUCAGCGGUGAAAGUCUGUGGCUCAACCAUAGGAUUGCCGUUGAAACUGGGAGACUUGAGUAUUUUUGAGGCAGGCGGAAUGCGUGGUGUAGCGGUGAAAUGCUUAGAUAUCACGCAGAACCCGGAUUGCGAAGGCAGCCUGCCAAGCCAUGACUGACGCUGAUGCACGAAGGCGUGGGGAUCAAACAGGAUUAGAUACCCGUGUAGUC
RNAcentral lists this ribosomal RNA (460 nucleotides) under uncultured bacterium. Its description in RNAcentral is "partial 16S ribosomal RNA". It matches the Rfam family "Bacterial small subunit ribosomal RNA", at positions 338 to 795 of the family's 1533-position model. The record is from RNAcentral.